AAGGUUUGUCCUGCCCAGUGAUAUAAAUUCAACGGUCGCGGUAUAUUGACCGUGCAAAGGUAGCAUAAUCAUUAGUCUUUUAAUAGGGGGCUGGUAUGAAAGGUUAAACGAAACAUUAACUGUCUUAUUUAUAAAUAUUAAAAUUUAACUUUUAAGUCAAAAGGCUUAAAUUUUUUUGGAGGACGAGAAGACCCUAUAGAGCUUUACAUUAUGUUUUUUAAUAUUUCUUGGUUAAAUAUUUUGAUAUUAAUUUAUCUAUUGUUUUGUUGGGGUGACAAUAAAAUAUGAUUAACUUUUUAUAAAACUUACAUUUAUUUAUGAAUUUUUGAUCCAAUAUUAUUGAUCAUUAGAUUAAGUUACCUUAGGGAUAACAGCGUAAUCUUUCUUAGGAGUUCAAAUUUACAGAAAGGCUUGCGACCUCGAUGUUGGAUUAAGAUAAUAGUUAGGUGCAGUAGCUUAACGAAUAAG
Molecule: ribosomal RNA, 468 nt
Filed under: Argia moesta
Lineage: Eukaryota; Metazoa; Arthropoda; Insecta; Odonata; Coenagrionidae
Description: partial 16S ribosomal RNA
Rfam family: Archaeal large subunit ribosomal RNA
Source: RNAcentral